AUCACUUAAAUUUUUGUUUUACUUAUCUGUUUUUCAAGUUCAAAAGUAAACCAAGUCACUCAUGACUCACUGCAUCAAAUUUAAACAGACAGUCCCUGCAAAUUUCCCUGUAUUUUGGAUUUAAAGUUCUCAUCUUUCUACUCUUUCAGUCACUUGAAACAAACAUACCUCAUCUCUCUCUCUCUCUCUCUCUCUCUCUCUCUCUCUCUCUCUCUCUCUCUCCUGCAUCACAACAGAGUCUCUCUCUGUUAGAGUGCAUUACAUCUCUCUCUCUCCCUCUCUCUCCUCUUUCUGUUACAUUACAUAUAGACACAAACUGCAUUACAUCACAGUCAGAGAGUACACACAUCAAAAAAGCAGCUAAAUCAAGAAACACACAAGAACAAGCAAAGCACAUGAAGUCAUGAAUUUAUCAAUUACUAUUACCCAUUUCUUCUUUUACUAUUUUUGUAUUGAUCUGUAACCCUAACACCCAACUCAACAAAUAAUGCAAUGGGGGUCUUAGGUGAAACAUGGUGUUUCUGCAAUGGUGGAGGCAAAUCUGAAAGAAUGAAAGCUUCCAUUUUUUCCGGCAAAGCUCCGGCCUUGGCAAGAAUUGCUCUUGGUGGCUCAUUGUUUGGCACCGGUUUCUUGAUUCACCGCAAUUUGCUUCUUACAACUCAUGCCAAUCUUCCUUCUGUUUCCGCAGCCGAGUCGUCGGAGAUCCGGCUGCAAAAUGGUGUGGGAGCUUGCCUUUUUCCUCAUAGAUUCUUCAUCACAAGCUCAGUUCUUGAUCUAACAAUAGUUGGUCUGGAUGUGAUGGACGGGGACUCAAGUGUGCAGGUUCCUCAUCCUCAGUACUUAAAGACCUGCUCUAAACUUAAUUUGGAUCUUGGUAGUGUUGUUUACAUACUAGGUUAUGCUGAGAAAAACGAGUUGACGGUCGGGGAAGGAAAAGUGGUCAUAGCCACAGACAAUCUAAUAAAGCUGACCACUGAUGGAGUAACAUGGAGCCCUGGAUCAGCUGGGUAUGAUGUGCAUGGCAAUAUUGCUUUCAUGGUCUGUGAUCCCAUGAAACUAGCCACAUCUCCAAACACAAAGUCCACUUCAACAUCAUCCUCAUCUUCAUCGUGGAAGAGGGAUCCUCUUAUGCAAUUUGGUAUACCGAUUCCCAUUAUCUGUGAUUGGUUGAAUCAACAUUGGGAGGGAAAUCUUGAUGAACUCACUAGACCAAAACCACCAGUGAUUCGCUUGAUGUCUGCUGGCCCGAAAAGUGAACAAUCAUGUGCGUCGUUCACAAAGCGACAGGUUUUUAAGUCAACAGAAGAUGAAGAUAAUGGAACUCCAACAUUAUCAACCCUCAAAACCAAAGAUAUUCCUGGACCAAGCUCUUCCCAUGUGGCAAAAGCACAUGAAGAAGACACACCAAACGCCGAAUCACAGACUGUUCCUCAUUUACAAGGAAUCCCAACUCCAGAAAUUUACGAAUCACCUAAGUUAACUUCAGCUCCAUUUAGAAAGAAUGAAAGUGCCCUAAUCCAGCUCUUAGAUAUUAAUUUUCCACCAAGGAUCAUUAAACCUGCAGUCUUGCAUCAGCCUGCUCGAAAGCUGCAUUCCAAAUUAGGUGAGAAUUUUGUUAAGGCAAUUCCCUCGCGACAUGAUGUCAGAGAGGAGCAUUCGAGGGAUCAAAGACAUGAUACUGUCGCAGAUGCCGAGAUUGCAUCAACUGGUUCUGUAAAUGCCUCCGGGAGUGGGGUCGAAUCUAGUUCCUAUCCUGUUGAGGUUUCAGAUGUUCCCGACGGGUACAGCAGCGAAGGCGAGAUUACUAUGUAUUCUGCUGAAACAGCUGAAAGUCAUAAUUAUCCAAGCCCUAGAGAGGUAAAAUUUCAGCAAGUAGGAAGGAGCCAAAGCUGUGUAAAUUACAGUAGAUGGGGAUCUGUGCAGAGGAAUCCGAUUGCUCGAAGGACCUCACUAGAAAAACAAAGAAGUUUUCUGCAGGGUAGAAAAGUUUACUCACAAGGGGCUACUUCUCAGAAGAGUAAUGACUACUUUAGCCCAACUGUCUCCUCCAUAAUGAAGAAACGGAACAACUUGGAGCAGCAGCCAACCAGGCCCCAACAAAGUGCAGUUCAUUCAUCUGCUAAAUGGGCAUUCUGAUCGGUCCAAAUCAGAAAGAUGGAUCAAUGUAAUGGUCCAUCUACGGUUCUACAUCAACUUCAGGAAUAUUUGCAAGGCCAAAAGCAUAUUUUUUUUCCAAGAGACCAACAAUACUCUUCAGCUUAGCAAUUUCCGCAAGAGGACUUAUCCCCAAGAGAGGUGGAAAUGGUUUCAACCAUCCAUGUGCAAGCCACCAUACUUUAAGCCACCACAAAGGGGGUGGUGGUAACAAGCCCUUGCUUCUAUUCAUAAUCUCGUCCUUCUUCAUCGGAAUGUCCCGCGCACCUUCAGCGAUCCCGAGGUUCGCCACCAGAAAGAUGACCAUCACGAACAAACACUUGGUCAUUUGAAGCUCCCAGUUUACCUGAACCAGUGCAUUCCCUGCAUAAUGAUGCUAGUGGUGGUACUCUUACUCUUCAGUACAAAUUUUCAAGAUUGCUUUCGACAUUUCCUGUCUCCGAUGAUUUGGGUGCCUGAGGUUAGAAGAUCCAGAAUAUUUCCACAUUGGCUUGCCAUUGUCUUCUGGUAUGUGAGGCAGAGGCACCAUCGUGCCGCUCAAGUAAAAUUUAUAGGUGUACUCAGGCCAAUGCACUGCUGCAGCGAGAUUACUUUAUAAUCUGCUGUGUAUAUUUUGUUGGCACUAGAAAGAUAAGAGUACUUGCAGUUGCUCCAUACUUUAUACACAAAAUUAUUUCAUAAACUUCACGUAAACUUUUAUUUGUCGAG
Molecule: RNA transcript, 2862 nt
Organism: Daucus carota subsp. sativus
Lineage: Eukaryota; Viridiplantae; Streptophyta; Magnoliopsida; Apiales; Apiaceae
Exons: 4
Source: RefSeq, a predicted model, not a curated record